AUUACUUUUCAGUGAAUACAUAGCUGAUUAGAGGUAGACGCAGAGAACUGAAACAUCUUAGUACCUGCAGGAAGAGAAAGAAAAUUCGAUUCCCUGAGUAGCGGCGAGCGAAACGGGAAGAGCCCAAACCAACAAGCUUGCUUGUUGGGGUUGUAGGACUCCAAUAUGGUAGUCUGUUAGUAUAGUUGAAGGAUUUGGAAAAUUCCGCUAAAGAGGGURAAARCCCCGUAGACGAAAUGUGGAAGACACCUAGGAGG
This 257-nucleotide ribosomal RNA is filed under the name Enterococcus faecium. RNAcentral's name for it is "partial 23S ribosomal RNA". It matches the Rfam family "Bacterial large subunit ribosomal RNA", at positions 147 to 404 of the family's 2925-position model. Lineage: Bacteria; Bacillati; Bacillota; Bacilli; Lactobacillales; Enterococcaceae. The record is from RNAcentral.